Molecule: non-coding RNA, 80 nt
Organism: Pangasius djambal
Lineage: Eukaryota; Metazoa; Chordata; Actinopteri; Siluriformes; Pangasiidae
Source: the annotation of a GenBank genome assembly
GCAGCCGUGGCCUAAUGGUUAGAGAGUCGGACUUGCAACCCGAAGGUGAACCUGAAGGUUCGAGUCUUGGGCCGGCAGGG